RNAcentral lists this ribosomal RNA (125 nucleotides) under Sulfuricurvum sp. Its description in RNAcentral is "partial 16S ribosomal RNA". It matches the Rfam family "Bacterial small subunit ribosomal RNA", at positions 1403 to 1533 of the family's 1533-position model. Lineage: Bacteria; Pseudomonadati; Campylobacterota; Epsilonproteobacteria; Campylobacterales; Sulfurimonadaceae. The record is from RNAcentral.
CAUGGGAGUUGAUUUCACCCGAAAUCGGGAUGCCAAACUGGCUACCGCUUACGGUGGAAUUAGCGACUGGGGUGAAGUCGUAACAAGGUAACCGUAGGAGAACCUGCGGUUGGAUCACCUCCUUU